Molecule: long non-coding RNA, 1054 nt
Organism: Ostrea edulis (European flat oyster)
Lineage: Eukaryota; Metazoa; Mollusca; Bivalvia; Ostreida; Ostreidae
Exons: 2
Source: RefSeq, a predicted model, not a curated record
GUGUUUCGAGUUACUCCGGAACACCCGGGAUUUUUCGUAUUUAGCCACGCCGGUCACGUGAUAUGAGCAAAAUGUUCCACAGGGGUACUUCCGGUUAAUUUUGUUUACACUGGUAACAAAAUUGUUUUUGACAAAAUAUAGAUUUUGCGGCACAAACUGUCGCAAAUCAGAUAAAGGAUAGCAAGGGAUAUAUAUUUACUUGGGAAGAUGUCAAAGUUUACCUUUUCCCAAACCCGGGAAAAGCGUUCACGCAGAGGAAACGAUGGCGUCAUUUGUGUAGAAAACCACGAGCAGCCGAAAUUGAGUGCGAUUAUUACAUUCCGUGAAAGCUGAACCAACAAAGAAACAUCAUUGUUCUAGCCAGUUUGCUUAUAUUAACUUUUAGGAAAACCAAGAGGUUGAUAACAAUGGCUGAUCUGCAUAUAAUGACUGCUAGUUAUUGGCUGGUAUGCAGUGAAAGGGAGCUAAAAAGGAGUAAAAAGUUCAUAUCAGCCAGGUGAGAAUUAAUUUCUUCUUUUUUGUGUGUUAUACAUAUGUAAUUCUUUUCUUUUGCUGCUUCAAAUCUUGUGUAUUUGAAAAUUUUCAGUCUAAUAUUUGGCAAUGUUAUAGGUAGUGUGGUUUAAAUAAACCAGUGUUAAGGAAUAUCCAGUAAUGGCAUGACAUCAUGAGAGUUUGGCAUACUGACAUUCAGAUGAUUAAUGAUGAAACUGAAGACCUCAAGUGAAAGGCAUGGAAAAUUAUCCUGUUCCCAUUAACCUGGAAAAGAGGAGGGAUGCCACAAUAUUGAUAAUAGACUUUUGUCAAUUUGAGAAGCAAAGAUGUAAAAAAAAAAUAAAAAAUAAAAAAAAAAAAAAUAAAAAAAAAAAAAAUAAAUAAAUAAAUAAAUAAUGCUGAAAUUAUAAUUCAUGUAUUUGUUAAAAAUACUGUUCACUGUACAUACAUGUAUAUUUUUUUUAACUUAUUUGGAAAUACAUGAAGUAAUUCAUAUUAAAACUGAAUGUAUGAGUUUUCAUGAUUUUUAUCAAUAAAGCUUACCAUAUUUAUUGUACAAAUA